UGGGGAAUAUUGGGCAAUGGACGCAAGUCUGACCCAGCAACGCCGCGUGAAGGAAGAAGGCUUUCGGGUUGUAAACUUCUUUGACAGGGGAAGAGCAGAAGACGGUACCCUGAAAACAAGCCACGGCUAACUACGUGCCAGCAGCCGCGGUAAUACGUAGGUGGCAAGCGUUGUCCGGAUUUACUGGGUGUAAAGGGCGUGUAGGCGGAGGAGCAAGUCAGAUGUGAAAUCCCGGGGCUUAACCCCGGAACUGCAUUUGAAACUGUUUCCCUUGAGUAUCGGAGAGGCAAGCGGAAUUCCUAGUGUAGCGGUGAAAUGCGUAGAUAUUAGGAGGAACACCAGUGGCGAAGGCGGCUUGCUGGACGACAACUGACGCUGAGGCGCGAAAGCGU
RNAcentral lists this ribosomal RNA (392 nucleotides) under uncultured Oscillibacter sp. RNAcentral describes it as "bacterial SSU rRNA". It matches the Rfam family "Bacterial small subunit ribosomal RNA", at positions 355 to 762 of the family's 1533-position model. Lineage: Bacteria; Bacillati; Bacillota; Clostridia; Eubacteriales; Oscillospiraceae. The record is from RNAcentral.